GGGAAUGUGGCUCAGGGGUAGAGUGCUUGCCUAGCAAACAAGAGGUCCUGGGUUUGAGCCCCAGCACUA
This 69-nucleotide transfer RNA is filed under the name Ictidomys tridecemlineatus (thirteen-lined ground squirrel). RNAcentral's name for it is "Spermophilus tridecemlineatus (thirteen-lined ground squirrel) tRNA". It matches the Rfam family "tRNA". From Rfam's summary of the family: Transfer RNA (tRNA) molecules are approximately 80 nucleotides in length. Lineage: Eukaryota; Metazoa; Chordata; Mammalia; Rodentia; Sciuridae. The record is from Rfam by way of RNAcentral.